Molecule: long non-coding RNA, 343 nt
Filed under: Gossypium raimondii (Peruvian cotton)
Lineage: Eukaryota; Viridiplantae; Streptophyta; Magnoliopsida; Malvales; Malvaceae
Description: long non-coding RNA (GRAI_LNC001524)
Source: RNAcentral
CUUGUCCUUUCUUUUUUGCACUCUUCUUUCUCCUUUUUCUUCCCCAUCACCCUUUUUUGCUCAACUUGGUUCAAACGCACACAAACGGCUACAUCUACUAUCUUUGAUAAAGCUAAGUGUGGGUCUCUUUUUUUUUUUUUUCUUUUUGUGUGUGCUUUCAAACUCAAAGCUGGACCACUUUGAUGAAACAUGAUUCAUCGGUGGGGAAACACUUUUUUUUAGAAUAGGUUCACAAAGUCAGCCAGUCCAUGUGGUUGGAACACUAGUUUAUGUCCACAACUGGAUAAGAUCCUUUUAUUCCUUCAUUCAAAACUACAUGGUAAUGUGUUAUAAAGGAAUUGCC